GUCUGAGAGGACGAUCCCCCACACUGGUACUGAGACACGGACCAGACUCCUACGGGAGGCAGCAGUGAGGAAUAUUGGUCAAUGGGCGCAAGCCUGAACCAGCCAUGCCGCGUGCAGGAUGACGGCUCUAGAAGUUGUAAACUGCUUUUGUAUGGGAAUAAACUGUCCGGUUCUCCGGGCAUUGAAGGUACCAUACGAAUAAGGAUCGGCUAACUCCGUGCCAGCAGCCGCGGUAAUACGGAGGAUCCAAGCGUUAUCCGGAUUCAUUGGGUUUAAAGGGUGUGCAGGCGGAGUAAUAAGUCAGUGGUGAAAUCUUGCGGCUCAACCCGUAAAAUUGCCAUUGAUACUGUUAUUCUUGAGUUCAGUUGAGGUGGGCGGAAUGAGUAAUGUAGCGGUGAAAUGCUUAGAUAUUACUCAGAACACCGAUUGCGUUAGGCAGCUCGCUAAACUGUAACUGACGCUGAGGCACGAAAGCGUGGGGAGCGAACAGGAUUAGAUACCCUGGUAGUCCACGCCGUUAACUAUGAAUACUGGAUGUGUGCGAUACACUGUACGCGUCUGAGCGAAAGCAUUAAGGUAUUCCACCUGGGGAGUACGUCCGCAAGGAUGAAACUCAAAGGAAUUUGACGGGGGCCCGCACAAGCGGAGGAACAUGUGGUUUAAUUCGAUGAUACGCGAGGAACCUUACCUGGGCUUAAAUGCAGUAUGACCGUUCUCGAAAGAGAUCUUCCCUUCGGGGCAAAUUGCAAGGUGCUGCAUGGUUGUCGUCAGCUCGUGCCGUGAGGUGUCGGGUUAAGUCCCAUAACGAGCGCAACCCCUACCGUUAGUUGCCAGCGAGUAAUGUCGGGGACUCUAGCGGAACUGCCGGUGUAAACCGCGAGGAAGGUGGGGAUGACGUCAAAUCAGCACGGCCCUUAUGUCCAGGGCUACACACGUGUUACAAUGGUCGGUACAGUGGGCAGCUACCCAGCGAUGGGAUGCUAAUCUCCAAAACCGAUCCCAGUUCGGAUUGAAGUCUGCAACUCGACUUCAUGAAGGUGGAUUCGCUAGUAAUCGCAUAUCAGCAACGAUGCGGUGAAUACGUUCCCGGGCCUUGACACACCGCCCGUCAAGCCAUGGAAGCU
RNAcentral lists this ribosomal RNA (1124 nucleotides) under uncultured organism. Its description in RNAcentral is "bacterial SSU rRNA". It matches the Rfam family "Bacterial small subunit ribosomal RNA", at positions 290 to 1412 of the family's 1533-position model. The record is from RNAcentral.